This 591-nucleotide ribosomal RNA is filed under the name Candidatus Mycoplasma haematominutum. RNAcentral describes it as "bacterial SSU rRNA". It matches the Rfam family "Bacterial small subunit ribosomal RNA", at positions 337 to 925 of the family's 1533-position model. The record is from RNAcentral. Lineage: Bacteria; Bacillati; Mycoplasmatota; Mollicutes; Mycoplasmatales; Mycoplasmataceae.
UCCUACGGGAAGCAGCAGUGAGGAAUUUUUCACAAUGGACGAAAGUCUGAUGGAGCAAUACCAUGUGAACGAUGAAGGUCUUCUGAUUGUAAAGUUCUUUUAUUUAGGAAAAAAAGCUUGAAAGGAAAUGUUUAAGCCUUGAUUGUACUGAAUGAAUAAGUGACAGCUAACUAUGUGCCAGCAGCUGCGGUAAAACAUAGGUCACGAGCAUUAUCCGGAUUUAUUGGGCGUAAAGGAAGCGUAGGCGGACAAAUUGAUCUAUUGUUAAAGGCACUUGCUCAACGAGUUGUUUGUGAUAGAUAUCGUUUGUCUAGAAUUAGUUAGGAGAUACUGGAAUUCAAUGUGUAGCGGUGGAAUGCGUAGAUAUAUUGAGGAACACCAGAGGCUAAGGCGAGUAUCUAGGACAUAAUUGACGCUGAGGCUUGAAAGCGUGGGGAGCAAAUGGGAUUAGAUACCCCAGUAGUCCACGCCGUAAACGAUGGGUAUUAGGUAUUUGGUUUAGGACUGAGUGCUGUAGCUAACGCGUUAAAUACCCCGCCUGGGUAGUAUAUAUGCAAAUAUGAAACUCAAAGAAAUUGACGGGGACCUGAC